UUAAUUACUUUGACGGAGAAGAGUAGAUAAAUACUUCUGUACAGAGAGGAAGAUCCGAGGGCUGAGAGAUUUUCUCAUAAAAGGUUUAUUGAAGGUAGCUCUUGAGUUUUCAGAUUGAAAUGACAGUAAAUCUGAACGGGUAAUUCCGUUAUAUAGUUUGUUAUAAUUAAGAGCCGCAGCAUGUUUGGCGGAAUUAAGGUGGUACCGCGUAUUAACCCUUCGUCCUUAUA
Molecule: non-coding RNA, 230 nt
Filed under: Sporanaerobacter sp.
Lineage: Bacteria; Bacillati; Bacillota; Tissierellia; Tissierellales; Sporanaerobacteraceae
Description: T-box sequence
Rfam family: T-box leader
About the family: Uncharged tRNA acts as the effector for transcription antitermination of genes in the T-box leader family. T-boxes are found upstream of many aminoacyl-tRNA synthetase genes and some amino acid biosynthetic genes usually in Gram-positive bacteria. The anticodon of a specific tRNA base pairs to a specifier sequence within the T-box motif, and the NCCA acceptor tail of the tRNA base pairs to a conserved bulge in the T-box antiterminator hairpin.
Source: RNAcentral